GGCCUCGUAGCUCAGCUGAUGGAGCACUCGCUGUAUUAAAGCGAGGGUGGUGGCCAUGCGUGGGUUUGAAUCCCGCCGGGGCCA
This 84-nucleotide transfer RNA is filed under the name Fasciola hepatica (liver fluke). It matches the Rfam family "tRNA". From Rfam's summary of the family: Transfer RNA (tRNA) molecules are approximately 80 nucleotides in length. Their secondary structure includes four short double-helical elements and three loops (D, anti-codon, and T loops). Lineage: Eukaryota; Metazoa; Platyhelminthes; Trematoda; Plagiorchiida; Fasciolidae. The record is from Rfam by way of RNAcentral.